CCCUCCUUAAAAUCUGACAGGCAACGGAAAAAUGUGAUUUCAUAGAGAUGCUUACAUUCUCUGCUGAUGACAUCCAGGGAUAUAAAUGCUCAGUGUCACACUGCUAAGUGGAGAAAGCUUCCAGGGUUCCAUUGAUCUUGUGGCGUGGGAGGCUGUUAUGGUGUGAGUCUGUUACCAGGAGCUACAUGACAGCAUGGAUUAAGUUGUGCUUUGGGAAAAUGAAAGCAAGAACUUCUACGUUUGUAGCACACAUAGGUCUGUUAGAAGGAGCAGCUGUUAGAAAUGGAUGCACUGUAAACUUUAUCCUUGAGAAAUUAAAGAGAAACACAUGUGAGAAAAAUGGAAUUGCAAGAGCCACUGGGAUGGGGACUUCCGGAAGAACAUGGCAGAUAGAUAGCAGCAGCUACAGAGGCUCUCUGAGAUACCCCACCUAGAAUCCAGGAAUGGGGCAAUCUGAGGAGUCCUAAGCAAGGAGGGAUAUACCCUGCCAACCCAGGAAUGAACUAAGCUAAGAGAAACCAACUGGAAAUGCAAUCCCGGUGCUAUAACAGGAAGAGAUAAAAUCUCAGCGCAGAAGCUGGAACCUGUGCCAUUGGAAGCUGCAAUUUGAAUUUCCUGCUGCCACUGCUGUGUCCAAAUCGGCAUGUCAGGAAGAGAGACACGUGAAAACUCUGAGAGUGGGAAUCAGCAAAUGGAGUUGAGAAUGGGACUGGUGGGGAGCCCUGCAUCGACCUGUGGUGAGUGAGUGGAACGGAGACCCUUCCAUAGAGUAGGAGGCUUCAGCAAAGGACAUACUGGGACCAGGCAGACUUGCCAGAACAGGACGCUGCAGUGUCCUUAGUCGCAUAUUCCCCUCUCAAGCGGGAUUGGUGGGGAGUGCCUGGCCUGGGGGACGUCGCUGACUAAGACCCAGUAGGCUAGCCCAAACCAGGUCCUAGCGCCCGGAGGUGCACCCUAGCAGUGAAGCCUUUGGUAGGUUGACCUGGAGGGGCGGGCCCAGCAGACGCUGCCCAGCUCUGUGUCUCCCUAGUACACUGCAGUGGGCGGGAACACCUAGCUAGCACAAUUUAAACAAACUGUAACAGACAAAGAGAAAAAAAAACUGGGCCUCCUAUAUUCACUUGUAUGGAAGGAAAAAAAGUAUGGGAAGACGAAGCAACAAGAAAGGGUCCUCAGUCCCCAAUCCUGAGAACACUGAUCCAGGAAAGGUGAAUGCAAAGGAGAAUGAGGACAGAAAACAUGCAGUAUCAGACACGGCACCAAUAGACAUAAAGCGAUAUCUCUGGAGCCUCAUAGACGAGUUCAAAAGAGACGUUUUUAACGAAAUAAAGCAAGAUAUAAGUACAAUAGUUAGAGAAAUGCUAAGCACCACCCAAGAAAAAACAGAUGGUGGAAUGGAAGAACAGAAAAAAAGGGAGAAUUGUUUGAUGGAGAAAAUAGAGAAAACAGAAUACGUGAAGCAGGUUCAAAAAGAUUAUAAGGAAACUAAAAACUCUAUUGAAAGCUGGCAUUGUUAUGAAAGAAACUAAGGAUAGAUUAUCUGAACUGGAGGACAGAUUUGUAAUGUGGGAGCAUGAAAUGAAAAACUUCUUAAAAAUAACAAGAAAACAAACAGCAAUAAUACAAAGGCUAGAAGAUGAUAAGAUCUAUAACUUAAGAACAUAAAAAGAAGAAGUAGGGACACAAACAAAUGGACUACAAAAGCUAUUCAAAGAAAUAAUCCAAGAGAAUUUCCCUAAUUUAGCAAAAGCUAAAGAUACUCAGAUGUAUGAGGCAUACAGGACCCCAGCCACCUACAACCCAAACACAGCUACACCCAGGCAUAUAAUAAUCAAAAUUCCAGAAAUCCAAUAUAAGAACAGAUUACUAAAAGCCAUACAAGACAAGAAACAGAUCACUUACAAGGGAACAUCCAUCAGAAUUACAGCAGACUUCUCGGCACAAGCCAUCAAAUCACGAAGAGCGUGGGGGGAAAUAAUUCAAGCUUUGAGAGAUAAUAACCUCCAGCCAAGAUUGAUAUAUCCUGCACAACUGUCCCUAGAAAUUGAUGGAAAAACAAGGUGCUUCCAGGAUAAAGAGGAACUAGCAGAAUUUGCAACCACCAAUUCAACUCUACAGAGAAUACUGCAGGACAUUCUAAAAAAGAAAAAUACCAAGAUUCCAGAAACAAUGGCAGAGAGGCCACAAUGAAUGCAGCAGAAAGCAAAA
This is a long non-coding RNA of Cavia porcellus (domestic guinea pig), 2208 nucleotides long. RefSeq lists it as uncharacterized. The transcript has 3 exons. Lineage: Eukaryota; Metazoa; Chordata; Mammalia; Rodentia; Caviidae. The record is from RefSeq and is a predicted model, not a curated record.